GCCAAAACAACAAUCUUAUGGCUAAUUACAGUUAAUUCUGAAGUAAUCCAUACAAUCUUCAAAUUGUAAGCCUCCUCAUAACCGAAGGAAACAUGAAAAAUCAGCUCAAUUAGAUGUUAAUUGACAUCUUGGUUUGUGUUGUGUGUAUAAAGGAAUCCAAAUGCAGAAGAGUGAAUGAGAGACUUGAGAGGGGCAAAAGCCAAGUAUUCCUAGAAGAAACCCAUAUCAAGGAG
RNAcentral lists this unclassified non-coding RNA (233 nucleotides) under Hevea brasiliensis (rubber tree). Lineage: Eukaryota; Viridiplantae; Streptophyta; Magnoliopsida; Malpighiales; Euphorbiaceae. The record is from RNAcentral.